Long non-coding RNA from Spinacia oleracea (spinach), 714 nucleotides. RefSeq lists it as uncharacterized. The transcript has 2 exons. NCBI's taxonomy places the organism in Eukaryota, Viridiplantae, Streptophyta, Magnoliopsida, Caryophyllales, Amaranthaceae. The record is from RefSeq and is a predicted model, not a curated record.
AUGGUGGAAGCUCUUAUUUGUGGGCAAGAUUGGAUGCGUACCUCUCAUACUUGUAUUACUAUUGAGGAGAGUUUGCUAGAGUUGGAGAAAAUGGAAGAAGGUAUGCAAGAAUUGGUUUCGGAACAACCAACUAUUAUAAUUGACGAAACGAUUGAAGAAGCUUCGGAUAUCACAGAUUUCACAAUGGACGACAUACUUGAAUGAGUUUUGUUGAUUAAUGACUUUGUAAACUUUUGGGAUUUCUGCCUGUGUGCAGUGUAGUGUAGUAAACUUCUGUGAACUUUAGUUUUUGUUAAGUGUUGUGCUUGCUUGUCUGCUUGUGCAUGUGUGGCUGUGUGCACAGUUGCACACUAUCUUAGUAUAUGUUACUGUCUACUGCUGCCUGCUGUGUGUGCUACUGGCCUACUGCCUACUGCAGUACUUCUGCUUGAUGCUGGUCAAUCUACUGUGUUUGUAAUGCUGCUGGGCCUGCUGGCUGUAAAUCUGUAAUGUUGCAUUGCUGCAAUGCUGCCUGCUGUAAGUCUGUAACUACUGCUGCAGUGCUGCCUGAGUGCUUGCUAGUCUGCUUAAUGCAGAUGCACUAAAUGUACAAGCCUACAGGGUGGAUCAUCUUUGGCUCUUUGCUCAUUUGCUGUAGAUUUGUAGUGCUGAUUGCUGACUGCAUUUAUAUGAAUUGUUGCUAUGAAUUUUUAUUUUUAAUUAUUUUGGAUUUUA